AUGAUACGGAGGUUUACUCUAUGAUUAGCAAAUACACUUCUUAUUUCAAUAAUAGAAUAUUGGAACUUAGAUGUUCAUUUCCAUCUACUCUGUCCUGUCAUUAUUGAUGAAGGCCUCAAAUUACACCAGUUCUGACCUGGAACUAAUCUAUUUAGCAGAAUAUUAAAAGAGAAAAGAAGAGAAUUAUAUAUGAUUUUCCCAGCCAUGAUGUUAAUUGCCUUAAAAGGAAGUUAUGUACCCAGUGAAGAAUGGGGCCAUCCAAGUGGCCUGAAGCUAAGGAAUUCAGGUACAUUUUUCCCUUUUUUUAGGGGAUAGGGGAGGAUGGGGGGAGAACAUAGAAAACUAAUUUUUUUUUUUAGUUUAAAAAGGAGCUUUAUCAAGAUUUACUAAAGCUGGUUUAAACCUGAGUUUGUGAUUUAUAGUCUCCUUCCAGGAAGCCUUGGUGCCUUUUUAUAGGACACUUAUCCUAGAUCUAUCCAACUUAUGAGAAAUGCCUUUGGUUUGAGUGUCUGGUAUGUCUGAUCUUCCAUUAAGCACAUUUAAAUAAAACAGUGCAUUCCACAGUGUCAGAUAUAUUAGUUAUAUAUUUGACGUGGUAAAUAUUUAAGAGGUUCCAUUUAUUAUCAUGAAAAAAAUAUCAAAACACAUGAUAGUCAUUUAGUCUUUAUUUUGGCUCCCAAAAAUAUUCACUAAACAGAUACUGGUUUUUUUCCUAUGUGUUUUACCAGGUACAGAUACUCAAAAAAAUCUACUGAACAAAAUAUAAAAGAAAGCAUAAAAUAUAGUUUCUGUCCUAAAAGCCUAACAGAUAAUAGUUGUUUGAAAUUCACAAAAGACAUUGUUUUCUACUUUAUUAUUUUAAAUUUGUUAUUGUAUUAUUUAAACUUCACAUAUCCAUUUUCUUAUUGUGGUUACAAUCUAAAAUUGCAAUUAACCUUGAAAUAACCUUCACUUUCCUUUUUCAUUACAUUCCCCUUAAGAACUUCAAUAAAUCAUUUUACUGAAGACCAUAGUCUUUAAGUACAUUUUCCUAAGCUAAUUAUUCAGGAAGAUAAUAGUAGUGUUUAAGGAAGCACAGUUGUCCAAACUAUCUCUAUAUAGUCACCUGAGGUUCUUGGUAAGCCCUCUUUCUCACUCUCUACUUCAGGUAAGUGCCAAUUUUUAGGAGGUCCAACUAUUUUUUAGCAAUGAAAUGAAUCAUGUUUUUCAUUGCUUUAUGAAUUGCACUACAUGAAAAAGCAUAUUUUAAAACGUGGACAUCUGGGGUUUCACAUUUGUUAGUGGCAGAGUAGUUGGUAUGAAACUAAACCUCUUGUGGAAAACAAUUAUGUACUAAGAAAAAAAUAUAAACAAAUUCUCUUUGAAGGAACUGGAGAGUGACCAAAAGUAGGCAAAAACUGGAAAGAAAUCAACCCUUGAAAGAAGAAACUAUAUAUGGUUUUCAAUUCAGUCCCUGUGGUACAAAGAAUCCAGAACUCCAGCAGAAAAACGCAAUACUAACCAACCAAUAUCAAUCAAUAUGGAAAAUGAAAGAAGGAAAUUAAUAAAGAUUUUAAAGAACACAAAAAGAAAAUGGGAAAAUACUAUAAUCAACUUUAUGCCAGUAGAUUUGACAACUAGGUAACAUGGAAAAUUUACUCAGAAAAUGCAACUGAUUAAAAUGAAACAAAACAUCUAAAUAACCAUCCAUCAAUUACACAACUCAUUCAAAAAACAGAAAAAGGAAAUACUUCUCAGCUCACUUUAUAAGACCAGUCAAAUACUAUCAUCUGACUUUGUCAGCAUAACUCGGAUACAGAUAUUAUGAAAAAAGAACAUUAGAGACCAAUGUUCUUAAUAAAUUUAGACACAAUUAUUCUUAUCAAAAUAUUAGCCAAUUUGUAUAAUAGUAUAUAAAAAAGAUGUUACAUCAUGGUCAAAUAGGGUUACUCCUAGAAACAAAGGUUAGUGAACUGAAAACCCUGUGGUGUAAUUCAAUGUAAAAGCAUUAAAAAAAAAACAGAAUAAUUACAAUAGAUAAAAACUUUUGAUAAAAACUUUUGACAAAGUAGGAAUAGAAAGGAACUUCCUCAACCUGAAAAAGAGCAAAUGUGAAACCUCAGCCAAUAUCACACUUAGAGGAAACUCUUAAGAUUGGAAACAAGGCAAGCUGCCUGUUACCUCUCAAUUCUUAUUCUCCUGGCAGUCCCAUCUAGUUUGAUAAGACAAGAAACAGAAAUAAGACAUAAGUAGAAGAAAGGAGGAACUAAUUCCUAUUUGCAGAUAACAUAAUUGUUUAUACAGAAAAUCUUAGGGAUCUACCAGCAAGUUAAUAGAAUUAAUAUGUGAAUUUAACAAGAUUUCAGGAUAUAAGGCCAGUAGUAAAAAAUUUUGGAAAUCAAAUUAAAAGAUCACUCCAUUAGCAGCUUAAGUGUCCAUCAAUGGAUGAAUGGAUAAAGAAAAUGUGGUAUAUAUACACAAAAUGGAGUUUUAUUCAACCAUAAAGAAAAAAAAAGUAUGUGAUUUGCAGGUAAAUGGGUGGAAUUAGAGACCAUUAUGUUAAGUCAAACCCGGGAACUCAAGAAUCAUAUGCUUUCUCUCAUGUGGAAGCUGGAGAGGGAAAAUGAAAAGAAAGUACAGAUAGGGAUCUCAAGAAAAUCAAAGGGAGAUCAGUAGAGGAAAGGGCCAGAGGAAGGAGGCAGGGAGAGAGGAAGGAAAUGAUAUUGGCCAAAUUAUAUUGUUAUAUUGUGUAAAUGUAUGAAUAUGUAGCAAUGUAUCCCAUCAUUAUAUUCAACUAUAAUGCACAAAUAAAAAAUGUGAGAAAAAAAGAUGAUUCUCAAAUUAUAGACUUCUAGGACUACAGGCUUAAAGAUCAUCUAAUUUAGUCUCUUAGGUUUGGCUUAUACAUGAAUAAAUGGAGGACUGGCAAGAUUUUUUUUUAAAAAAAAAAGACCAUUCAUGAACAAUAGCAUUAAAACAUAGCGUAAGCUUGGCUUACUGCAAGAGUACACACCUGCAGUCCCAGCUACUUGGGAGGCUGAAGCAGGAGGAUCACUUGAGCCCAGGAGUUCAAGGACAGCCUGGGUAACUAUAGAGAGCCAUCCGUGGGCCAAUAUGAACUACAUAAGCAUCACAGCCCACUGAAUAGGAGAAUCUGGUGUCUGGGAACUUCCAGUGGACAUUUCCUCUGGCUGACUGCCCAGACACAUUGUGAGUCCUAUUCAAGCUCUGCCUCAGGUCCCACACAGCACCAAAAAGGGGUGACUUGCUGCAGCCACACAGCCUCUCAGAGAUAGGUGUGACCUGCCAAGAUGCCAAUCAACCUGCUGACUGCAAGACAUCAUGAAGCAAGACUCCACCACAUUAUGCCUACCUUUAAUGUACCCCCUUAAAUAAACCACGGGAGCCAUUUUUUUAAAUGUCCAGCUCCAGCUCCUGUGUGGACUGGGUCUAUCAUGCACUCUACUUUACAACUGUAAUUCUGACUCUGUGUCUUUUGUUCUUCACUAAUUAUUUCUGACUUAUUUUCUCUGGUGGCUUAUACCCUCCUGGGCAGGAAGAAGGACCCCCAGACCCCAUUUAAAAUAAAUUUUUAAAAAUGCUUAGGAACAAACAAAACAAUAGAUUUGUAAAACCUCCAUGUUAAAAACUACAAAUACUGACUGAUAAAAGCAGUUAUAUAACACCUACAUAAACAGGAGAUAUACCAUUUUCAUGUUUUGGAAGUCUCGAUGUUGGUAAAAUGUCCAUUUUUUUCCCCAUUGAUCCAGAGAUUUAUUGCAAUCCUAAUCAUAAUCUCAGCAGGCAUUUUUAUAAAAGUGACAAUCUGAUUCUAAAAUUUAGGCAGAAAUGAAAGAGCCUAGGAUAGCCAAAACAAUGAUGGAAUAAAAGGAUGAAGCUUGAAGAUUUAUAUUAUUUAGCUUUAAAACUUAAUGUAAAUUACAGUUAUCAAGAUGUGUGAUAUUGGCAAUAGACAGACCGAUCAAGUGGAAUAGAAUAAAAAGAAGAAAUAGAUCAAUACCUAUGUAGUUAUUUCAUUUCAGACAAAGGUGCUGAAGUACUUCAGUGAGGAAAAGAAAAUCAUCAAUAAGUUAUGCAGGAAAACUGGAUAACUAUGCGGCAACAAAAUAAUCUCUGCCUCCUUAAUUCAAGGUAAAUCAUGGACCUAACUGCAAAAGUCCAAAAUUUAUUUUUUGGAAAUCAAGUAUAUUGUCAAAACCAGAGGGUAAGCAACAAUUUCUUAGAUAAACAAAGACAUUACCACAGAAGUAUUUUUAAAAAGAUACAUUUUAUCAAAAUUUAAAUCCUGUCAUUAAAAGAUACUUUUUAAAAAUGAAUAGGAAGCCACAACUUGGACAAAAUAAUUGUAAAACAUAUAUCUAGUAAAAGUCCCAUAUCCAGAAUAUAUGAAUUAGUGCUACAAUUCAUUAAUAAAGGCACCAAACCAAGAAAAAAAAAGAGAUACAAAACUUUAACAGACACAGGAUGAAGGAAACAUGUUUAAGGAAGUCCUCAAUAUUAUUAGUCAUUAAGGAAAUGCAAAUUAAAACUGCAAUGAGACUACUACAUACCAACUACAAUGGCUAAAUUUAAAAAUAUUGACAAUUAGCAAAUACUGGCUAAGAGAUGAAGCAAGUAAAAGUCUAAUACCUCACCGAUGGGAUACAAAGUGGAUUAUUCCCAGGAAAGAUUUGAUAAUUGCUUCUUUUUUUUUUUUUUUGGUGUGUGUGUAUGGGGUUGGAGAAUUAAUCCAGAGGCGCUCUAUCAGUGAGCUAAACCCCAAGCUCUUUUAAAAUUUUUAUUUAUUUAUUUAUUUAUUUAUUUUGAGACAAGGUGUCAUUAAGUAGCUGAGGUUGGCCUCAAACUUGCAAUCCUCCUGCCUGAAUCUUCCAGGUUGCGGAGAUCACAGGCAUGCCCCACUGCACCCAGCCUGACUUGGUAAUUUCUUAUAAAGUUAAACAUACACCUGUACCUUAUGACCUAGAAAUUCUACUUCUAAAUAUUUACCAAAGAGUAAUAAAAUGUAUGUUCAGAAAAAGUCAUGACUAAGAACAUUCAUAGCUACCCAAAACUGAAAAUGACCCAAAGGUUCAUUAAUAGGUGAAUGGAUCGACAAAUUAUGGUAUCCUCAAACAAUAAAAACUAUCCACAAGAAAAGAACUACUGAUACACCCCAAAGCAUGGAUAAAUCUCACAGACAUUAUGCUGAAUAAAAGAAGUUAGGCACAAAGAAUACAUUCCACAAUUCCAUUUAUAUCAAUUUCUUAAAUAAGUUUUUUUAAAUAAAGCUAUGCUGACAAUUUAUGGCAGAAAAAUGAAUCUAAGAUGAAACAAAAACAAAGUCAGAAGAGCAUUUGCUUCUGGCAAGGUUGAUAAUUAGGAAGAGGCAAAGGAAACUAAAGGUUGAAAAAUAUGUACUAAAUGUUAUUAGAGGCAUGGGUCAUAUGGGAGUACAUGUUUGUCAAAAUUCAUCUGUGGUAGUUCAUUUUUCUUUGCUUUAAUGACAUGCCAGAGGUAGGACUCUUUAUAAAGAAAAGAGGUUUAUUUUGGUUCUUUGUUACAAAGGUGCAAGGUGGAAGGGGCAUAUCUGGAGAUAUUGUUCUUACUGGCAGAGUCCCAAGGAGACAGGAAGUGCACAUGUGUAUUAUGUCCAUCUGGUCUCUCUCCCUCUUCUUAUAACACCACCAGGAUUUAAUAAGGGGUCUACUCUUAAGAUUUUAACCAAUCCUAAUUAUCUCCCCACCAGUGCACACGGUAGCCAGAUUAAGUCUCCACCCUCCCCAUACUUCACGGUGGGGAUCAUAUUUCAACACUUGGCAUCUUGGAGAAAUGCUCAAACCACAUCCAAGCCAUACAUAGCACCAUCAACUUGUGUACUUCAGAUUCAUGCAUUUUAUAGUAUUUAAAUUUUAUUCAAAAGAUAAAGAAGCUGAGCUUCUGAGUGUUUUUAAUAUUCUUAAUAUUUUUCAUAUCCUUUUAUCUUUUUAUCUCACUGAUAACCACCUGAAAAGCAUAUGCAAAGCACUGAAUAUCACUGGCCAUUUUUUUCCUUGAUGUUUGUAGAAUGACAUACACCUCGGAUCAUUUAAUGUGGUAAAAUAGGCAAGAAGCAGGAGUGAUUCUGAAUUUCAUGUACUGUGAAAGUAUAAGUAUCAUCUGUGUUGAAAUGGAAGAAAAACCCCUUGCAUUUGAAAUAACUCAAAACCCGAUGUUCUUCAGCUGACCUAAGUAAGUAAUAAAUAUGGUGAAUUUAAAAAUGCCGAUGGGGCUGGGGGUAUCAGAGCAGGUGCUUAGCAUGUGUGACGCUCUGGCUGGGUUCAAUUCCCAGCAGGCCUUCCACCCCAAAACAACUACAACAAAGCAAAAAAGGCUGAAUAAGGAUAAUGGGUGUUAAAAUGAUCACACAGGGAUGUAAAAACCCAUGUAAUGUGUCGAGAUUUUCCUUUGGGGGGCUGGUGGUGCAGUAAACAACCUCUCCCUGAUGCCCUCCUUGCUGCCUUCUUCUCUGAUGGCUCCCUUCUUCCCUCACUCCCUUCCUUCCUUUCAUUUGUUCAUAUCGGUAUGGACUAAAACAUUCUAACUUUAUUCAAAUUACCUCAAUGCUCCGUUUGUCCCAGUUUUGGGUUAAGGGAAGUCACUUCAAGCCAAAUCCUAAACAGGGAUCUAUGAGGCGUAUGGGAGCCCCACCUUCCUCUCCAGCUUCUGGCCCUGCCUUCUAUCCACAGUGACCUUUUGCCAUUUCCUACUUCCUGCCACCUUGGGGUCUCAUUGACUCUGCCUAUGCCUGCCUGGAAUGUUUUUUAUCUCCUUUUUCUUGGUUAAUACUUAUUUAACUGUCUGAACUGAGCUUAAAAGAGUCCUUUUAUCAGAGAAGUCUUCUCUAAUCCCCAGCCUAGGUCAAGGACUGUGAACUUUUACAUCUAUCAUACUGUGCUAAAAAUACUGCAGGAACAAAAAUCAAUUCACGAAAUAGCUUUUUUUUUCUAACCACAAAACCCACUAAAGAAACCUCUUGCUAGAAGCCAACUUCAUAUGUAGUGAGGAUUGAAUCGAUGGAAGAAGAAAAAAAGAGAAGAAGAAAUCAAAGAAGUAGGAGCUUCUCAGGCCAAGGGCCAAGGAUAACUUGGGGACAUAAAUUUUUAUCAGUGAGCAGCUGCUGAGAGAAAUAGUGAGAAUGUAAGCUACAGGAAAAGAUGUUAUAUAUAUAUAUAUAUGUUUUAAAUAUAUAUAAACUAUAUAUAUAUAUAGUUGUUCAAUAGGAACGGACUCCUUUGGGGUAUUUUUAUAAUUAAGAUUUGGGUUUUGCUUUUAUUUAAUAUUUUUGAGCUGGACUAACCAAGAGAAUGGAUGGUUAAUAUGGUUUCUCCAUGUGAAUAUUAACUUAAUGAAUCUGUUCUCUCCUCCCCUCCACUUACAUAUAAAUUUCUGAGAUCGAUAUUCUUCUUGUCUUAUUUACUCAUCUUUAUAAUCCUGGUGUUUGCACAAUCAGUAGCAGGUGCUAUAUCAAUAUUGAUUAAAUUAAUGUGUGUUUAAGGCAAUUUGUUUAACCUCUCCAGACCUCAAUUAAGUUGCUCUUCAGACUUCUUAACUCUUUCAAUAGAAAGAGCAUCAACUGCAGAGAAGAAAAAUUCGAUCUCUCCACUGCCAGAAAUCUAGAGUUGUUUGAAACAGCCAAUUAUUGUUCUGCUAUUUCUCUGAAGUUUCAUAUUCCAUCUUAAACACUUGUUACAUUAUUCAUAUUAAAACUUUAAAUUUUAUAUUCCACACUAUUGUAUAUCAGUAUUUAUUUAACACUAAAGUGACUUUUAUCUCAAAUCUUCUAAUUAAAAUAAAUAACUUUGUACCUAUUACCCCUAGGGCUAUGCAAAUUUCAAACCUAUUUAAGAAACACAAGUAUUAAUUAAAUGACCUAUGAGGUUCCCUUUUAGCUCCAUGUUUUCUGAUUGUUUGAUUUUUAAAGAAGCCAAAUAGCUAAUAUUUACUGAAUUUCUUUCAUGUUUAAGUCACAGAGGAGAAUACAAGGAACAAUGAGAUACACUGUUUGCCUUUACAGAAACUGAAUUGGGUAAGUCAUGUUAGGAGGCAGUAUAGAGUAAGUGCCAAGUAAAUAGAGUAACUUGUACAAUUCAGAAUGUUGGAGUCCUCUAGGCCUCAGUUUCCUCGUCUAUAUCAUGGGAUAAAAAUGCUCAGACUUUUUAUCUCACAGGGUAGCUCUGAAACUCAAUAAAGCAUGCCCACAUACAAAUGAAAAAGUGAUCAGGGAGUUUUAAUCAUAUGGUCAAACUUUGAAAUUUGAGUAUUAAACAAGUUCAUAGGAAAAUGACUUCAUGAAGUCACAAAAGGAGAUAUAUAUACCACAAAGGUACAGGAAACUAAAAAUAAUCUUUAUUAACCAAAAACCAAAACAACAAAACAAAACAAACUCAGGGGAACUAUUUCUAGAAAAGCAGAAUAUUAUGGGCUUUGAGUUACAAGAAAAAUCUAGAAUCACUGUCAUGGGUUUUAUUUUAAAAAGAUAAAUCCCUUGAUAUAAUUUGGUUCAUAUUUUGAAACAGCUGGGAACAUUUUGGUAUAGACCAAAGGGCUAUUUUAAAUGCUUCAACCCCUUUAAAGAUUAUUAAAAGGAGACUUGAAGAAACCAGAUAAUUAUUUGCAGAGAUUAAGUGUCAAAAUGGUAAUCUUACUAAAAGAAUAAAGAAGGAAAAUAUGAUUGUAUGUUUAGUGGAAAAUGAAUUGGCAUUAUGCCAGAAGUGGAAGACAAGAAAAGAAGUAAAUUUAGGAAGUAGUUUCAAUAUAAUUCUUGAUGGAAGGUUAAAAACAAGUAGCCUUCUACAUAAUUUGGAAUAAAUUUCAACAUUAUUGAAUGACUAAAACAUGGCUCAAAUCUUAAUCUGAGAGUUAAAUCAGUUAUAUACAAUGAAACUGUGAAAUCUGUGGGAGGCUUUCUAAGCAUAGUAUAGAGGAAAUGGUACCUGGUGAUAAUGAGAAUUAUAAGUAUUUAAUCAUUUAAAUGAGAUUUGAAAAUCAACAAAAGAGAAAAUACAUCAUUAGUUAGUGGCAUCUGUUUAAUCGAAGCGUAUAAAUGAAAAACAAAUCUUUAUUUCAAGAAGUUUCUAACAAGCAUUCCUGUUAUGAUUUGGAUCUUUAAUGUCCCUUGAAAAUCUCAUGUGUUAGGCAAUACAGUGUGGGAAGCCGUUCUCGCACGUGAUUGGGCUACCUCCCUGACUAGGUGUGAGGCGCUCAGACCAGCUGUGUCAGAGUUUUUUCCCCACCCUUUCCAGGUGCGAGGGCUUGUCCGUGUGGGGAUGUGACUGACCAUUGACCUGGAAACCAAUCACUGACCCUGACCUUGGAAUGCUGUCCACCUCGACCUUCAUUGGAUGGAAUUUUCCCCUGGAUUUUUUGUUUCCCAAUAAAAGCCCACUCUCUGGCGUGCUCUUCCUCUCUCCUGCUGGUCUCUUGUGUAAACCUCCCUGGAGAAGCCGUCUCUUAGCUGGGCAAGAAAAAAGGUAAAUUGAGUUUUAUGUGUCUUUAAUUUGAUCUCACUAGUUAACUUCUAUGUUUGGAACCUCUAGUAUGAAGCUAGCGUGCUGGUCACGCGGCAGAACACAGGAAUGUUCAGACAUGAUAGAUUAUGAGAGCUGUAACCUCACCAUUAAAUUAAUCCAUUUUAUGGAUUAAGAAUUUGAAUGGAGGGCUGGGGUUGUGGCUCAGUAGUAGAGCGCUCACCUAGCACAUGUGAGGCCCUGGGUUCGAUCCUCAGAACCAUAAAAAUAAAUAACAUAAAGGUAUUGUGUCCAAUUACAACUAAAAAAUAAUUUAAAAAAAAGAAUUUGAAUGGAUUAUUGGGUGGUGUCUAUGCAAAGGUGGAGGAAUGCUGGAGAAAGGAGGUCACUGGGGGUGUGGCUUUCUUCCAUUACGUUGUUCUGCCUCACCUCUGGCCAAGAGCCUUGGAGCUGACCAACCAUGAACUAAAUCUCUGAACCUAUCAGCCCCAAAUAAACCUUUCCUCCUCUAACUUGUUCUUGUCAGGUGUUUUGAUCACAGUGAUGCAAAGCUAAUCAACACUAUAUCACUUUUGCAAAACAUGGAAAAUACUGCACAAUUGAAUGUUGAAACCAUAUACAUUUGAGUAUAACUAAAGAUGGCUGCAUUUGAACAGUACAUAGUGUGUAAUACAAUAUGUGUAUAAAGCAAGGUAAAGAAAGAGUACUCCUAUUUGCUAGUACUUGCAUAAAAUAACUGAAACAGGAAAUCUUAAUUUGCUUCUAGGA
Molecule: long non-coding RNA, 10253 nt
Filed under: Marmota monax (woodchuck)
Lineage: Eukaryota; Metazoa; Chordata; Mammalia; Rodentia; Sciuridae
Rfam family: tRNA (bases 9681-9747)
Source: RNAcentral